This 2052-nucleotide long non-coding RNA is filed under the name Gallus gallus (chicken). Lineage: Eukaryota; Metazoa; Chordata; Aves; Galliformes; Phasianidae. The record is from RNAcentral.
AGCCAUUUGUCAUCAGGUGCUGUUUUUCAUUUGCAUUGUAUUUUCCAGUUAACACUCCUCUCUCCAGCAUCUGAUUUCAUAGCAGGGAGAGCUAACAUUCCUAAGGACACAGGCAGUGGGAGCCAUGGGAUUUCUGCAAAAUCCUCACUAAUGUUGAAGGAAGAGACUAUCUUGGGAACACAGCCCCAUUUCUUGUCUUUGCUCAUAUCCAGAGACAACCGUGGUAAAACCUGCAGCCACACGUGCCCACAAAGAGCACGUUCUGUCUGACAUUUCAAGCCUUGCGUGAGGAUCCCAAACCAGCUUGUGUUUCAGCUGGGAGUGGAGCAGAACAGUACCAGAGCUGCUUAGCCAUGAACCAGGGAAACGUCAGCGCUAAACUCUACUUCAGAAUGGUCUAGGAUUCAGCAGAGCCGGCAGUGACAUUGGUGAAGCUGAUGGCUGAGGCCAACUGUGCACAUCUUAGAGGAAAUUUCAGCAGAAAUGAAUGGUGGUGAUGAAAGGUUAAUGGCAAGCAUUGGCACCACAGCCAUUUCCAGAAUACUCCAUCUCUCCCUCAAGCUCAGAAGUAUGCUUGUUGCAAAUUUGGCCAGGUGAUCAUGGGCACAUGGUAAGCAAAAUGAAGAAGUCUGAGUGGGACGGUUGUGAGAGAAUCUGUUCUUUUCUAGCAUGAAUAAAAUGCAAGCAACUCCUGGACUUGCCUGGAGCUUGCUUUGUCCGCUCUCUAGCUGUAAACAGUAAUUAAAACCUUGAGCUGUCGAAUCUGUUUUGUGACACUGUGGCUCGCUGUUUUGCAUCAAGUUUUAGUAUGAAAAGUCUCCUUGCUCUGUCUGCUCCUGGGCAACAGGCAGCACUUUUUCAUCUCUCUGAGGAUUUGGGAGGAGGACUUGUUGGAGGCAGCAAUGCCAUCUUGCUGCUUCUUCAUGACAUUUAAAGGCUUGAAGCAGAAAACCUGAGAUGAUACGAAAAAAGCAAAAGAAACAGGCACCUGUGAAAGAUUCCAUAAGCACAGAGUGCGGAGCCUUACUGAGAGCCAGAUUGAGAGAAAUACAAAAACUAAAAACUACCUUUGUGGAAUCAAAAAGGGUAUUUGAGGACCUGCAACAUAAUGCACUGGAACAUAAAAUUCUUCACCCAAUGGGAAGUGAGUGCUGUAUGUCUUCUAUGAAGUUGAAUAAACUUCUGCUCGUUUCAAUUAUGUUGCUGAAUCAAAAGACCAACUCCUAGGAACUGCUCACGAUCAGUUUAGCGCAGUGUUAUUGUUGUCAUUUAAUCUCACAGACCUGAAGAAGGAUUCAUAGUAGGAUGAAGACGGGGCUUCUCGAUGGUUGCUUUCACACCAGCUGACCACCUGCCUCCUUAAAUCUGGAAUUAAUGCAUGCACAGCAAGCAUAAGAAUAAACAAUGUAAGAUUUUACAUAAUUUCAUGCUUUCUAUGAAUUGUUUGAUGAUUUCAAAAUGACUGUUGUUGCAAGUAAGUUAUGGCUUGUGCUAUUCAAUUUAUAAAUGAUCUAAAAUAAAUUUCAUACAGUGACAGUUUUCUGAUGAUAUUAUUUACUUUAAAGAAAUCAAAAGUCAGCUAUAAAGAGAUGCAGAAGUAUCUCAUAGUACUGAAAUACUAUACAAAUUAAUAAGUCUAUAUAAAAUAAUAUACAUGGGACAAAAUCCUAACUUAGUGUGUAUCAUGAAUUGAUGGUUUGGGGUUCUUGGGAUUUGGGAUUUUGAUGAAUGGUUCUAUGAAAAUGUGGAGUUAACAUAUGAAUUCCUUAGAAGAAAAAAAAAAAAAAAGGAAUAUUAGGGAUUCUGAAGAAAGCAGUAGAAAACAAGGAGACAACUAUCAUCAUUUUGUCACCACUUAAUGGUGAUGAAUCUCUGAGGCACGUAUGCCUUGACCAUCCAGUGCAUUUAUGAUCACUUCACCUCAAAAAACAUAAUACAGCUGCAAAAGUCUCAGACAAGGGCAACAAAGGACAAGUGAACUUCUGGAAUGGCUUCUGAGCCGUGCAGGAACACUGAGCAGAUUACAGAGACAGCUUAGAGGGUAUACAACAG